GCGCCCGUAGCUCAGCGGAUAGAGCACCGGACUUCUAAUCCGACGGUCGCAGGUUCGAAUCCUGCCGGGCGCGCCG
This 76-nucleotide transfer RNA is filed under the name Blastococcus fimeti. RNAcentral describes it as "Blastococcus sp. DSM 44205 tRNA_Arg_TCT". It matches the Rfam family "tRNA". From Rfam's summary of the family: Transfer RNA (tRNA) molecules are approximately 80 nucleotides in length. Lineage: Bacteria; Bacillati; Actinomycetota; Actinomycetes; Geodermatophilales; Geodermatophilaceae. The record is from RNAcentral.